CAGUUGGAAGGAAAGAACCAACAGGGAUUGCCCUAGUAACGGCGAGUGAAGCGGCAACAGCUCAAAUUUGAAAUCUGGCCUCGGCCCGAGUUGUAAUUUGCAGAGGAUGUUUCUGGCGCGGUGCCUUCCGAGUUCCCUGGAACGGGACGCCACAGAGGGUGAGAGCCCCGUAUGGUUGGACACCAAGCCUGUGUGAAACUCCUUCGACGAGUCGAGUAGUUUGGGAAUGCUGCUCAAAAUGGGAGGUAAAUCUCUUCUAAAGCUAAAUACCGGCCAGAGACCGAUAGCGCACAAGUAGAGUGAUCGAAAGAUGAAAAGCACCUUGAAAAGGGGGUUAAACAGUACGUGAAAUUGUUGAAAGGGAAGCGCUUGUGACCAGACUUGCGCCGGGCGGUUCAUCCGGGGUUCUCCCCGGUGCACUCCGCCCGGGUCAGGCCAGCAUCGGUUCUCGUUGGGGGAUAAGAACGGCAGGAACGUGGCCCUCCCUCUGGGAGGGUGUUAUAGCCUGUCGUACGAUACCCUGAUGGGGACCGAGGUUCGCGCUCCGCAAGGAUGCUGGCGUAAUGGUCAUCAGCGACCCGUCUUGAAACACGGACCAAGGAGUCGUCCAUUAGAGCGAGCGUUUGGGUGUCAAACCCGCACGCGUAAUGAAAGUGAAAUUAGGUGAGAGCUUCGGCGCAUCAUCGACCGAUCCUGAUGUUCUCGGAUGGAUUUGAGUAAGAGUUUUAACGGACGGACCCGAAAGACAGUGAACUAUGCUUGUAUAGGGUGAAGCCAGAGGAAACUCUGGUGGAGGCUCGCAGCGGUUCUGACGUGCAAAUCGAUCGUCAAAUAUGAGCAUGGGGGCGAAAGACUAAUCGAACUGUCUAGUAGCUGGUUACCGCCGAAGUUCCCCCUCAGGAUAACA
This 907-nucleotide ribosomal RNA is filed under the name Dwiroopa punicae. RNAcentral's name for it is "partial large subunit ribosomal RNA". It matches the Rfam family "Eukaryotic large subunit ribosomal RNA", at positions 47 to 983 of the family's 3401-position model. Lineage: Eukaryota; Fungi; Ascomycota; Sordariomycetes; Diaporthales; Dwiroopaceae. The record is from RNAcentral.